CAUCAGGCCAUUCACGAGACACCACUGGAUCCAGAUGCGGCCUUACCUGCAGGCCAUGACAAGUAUCAUGCCUUAGAGGAAUUUCCAAAAAAUUGCACAGCUCACCCAUCUCAGCGUCCCGUAUCUAAGACCUCUCCAGACAGAUGCAACCACUACUUGCAACACAAGGAGAAUCCUGCAGUGGUGUUUCUCCCGUCAGUCACAGUGGCCAAGCACACCACUGCUAACGGGCCCAAAACUGGUGGUGCAGAGGGCAGCUGCGUUUGGCCAUCUUUGGCACAUGUUUGGAGCA
Sardina pilchardus (European sardine) is the source of this 292-nucleotide long non-coding RNA. RefSeq lists it as uncharacterized. The record is from RefSeq and is a predicted model, not a curated record. The transcript has 3 exons. Lineage: Eukaryota; Metazoa; Chordata; Actinopteri; Clupeiformes; Clupeidae.